RNAcentral lists this ribosomal RNA (505 nucleotides) under uncultured bacterium. RNAcentral describes it as "partial 16S ribosomal RNA". It matches the Rfam family "Bacterial small subunit ribosomal RNA", at positions 28 to 507 of the family's 1533-position model. The record is from RNAcentral.
GACGAACGCUGGCGGCGUGCCUAAUACAUGCAAGUAGAACGCACAGUUUAUACCGUAGCUUGCUACACCAUAGACUGUUAGUUGCGAACGCGUGAGUAACGCGUAGCUAACCUUCCUGGUAGCGUGGGAUAACUAUUGGUAACGAUAGCUAAUACCGCAUAUUAUUAAUUAUUGCAUGAUAAUUGAUUGAAUGUUGCAAUUGCAUCACUACCAGAUUUACCUGCGUUUUAUUAGCUAUUAGGUGAGGUAACGGCUCAUCUAGGCGACGAUACAUAGCCGACAUGAGAGGGUGAUCGGACAAACUGGGAAGGAGACACGGCCAAGAAUACUACGGGAGGCAGAAGUAGGGAAUAUUCGGCAAUGGACGAAAGUCUGACCGAGCAAAGCCGCGUGAGUGAAGAAGGUGUUCGGAUCGUAAAGCUCUGUUGUAAGAGAAGAAAGGGUGUGAGAGUGGAAAGUUCACACUGUGACGGUAUCUUACCAGAAAGGGACGGCUAACUACGUG